RNAcentral lists this ribosomal RNA (484 nucleotides) under uncultured bacterium. Its description in RNAcentral is "partial 16S ribosomal RNA". It matches the Rfam family "Bacterial small subunit ribosomal RNA", at positions 29 to 523 of the family's 1533-position model. The record is from RNAcentral.
AAUGAACGUUGGCGGCGUGGAUUAGACAUGCAAGUCGUACGGGUCGGUGUAGCAAUACAACGGCAAGUGGCGAAAGGGAGAGUAACACGUAGAUACCUACCCUCUGGUCGGGGAUACCGCGGCAUAACCGCAAGUAAUACCCGAUAAAAUCUCCGGAUCAAAGGUGUGAUUCCGCCGGAGGAGGGGUCUGCGUUCUAUCAGCUUGUUGGUGAGGUAAUGGCUCACCAAGGCUAAGACGGAUACGGGGUGUGAGAGCAUGCCCCCGCUCACUGGGACUGAGACACUGCCCAGACACCUACGGGUGGCUGCAGUCGAGAAUCUUCGGCAAUGGGCGCAAGCCUGACCGAGCGACGCCGCGUGCGGGAUGAAGGCCUUCGGGUUGUAAACCGCUGUCGAGGGGAAUGAAGUGUGGGUGGGUACUCCCAUCUAUUUGACAGAUCCCUGGAGGAAGCAUGGGCUAAGUUCGUGCCAGCAGCCGCCGUAA